CAGUCGCCCGGUAAUACGGAGGGUGCAAGCGUUAAUCGGAAUUACUGGGCGUAAAGCGCACGCAGGCGGUUUGUUAAGUCAGAUGUGAAAUCCCCGAGCUUAACUUGGGAACUGCAUUUGAAACUGGCAAGCUAGAGUCUUGUAGAGGGGGGUAGAAUUCCAGGUGUAGCGGUGAAAUGCGUAGAGAUCUGGAGGAAUACCGGUGGCGAAGGCGGCCCCCUGGACAAAGACUGACGCUCAGGUGCGAAAGCGUGGGGAGCAAACAGGAUUAGAUACCCGCGUAGUCCCUGUCUCUUAUACC
Molecule: ribosomal RNA, 301 nt
Filed under: uncultured bacterium
Lineage: Bacteria
Description: partial 16S ribosomal RNA
Rfam family: Bacterial small subunit ribosomal RNA
Source: RNAcentral